Molecule: long non-coding RNA, 1085 nt
Organism: Arabidopsis lyrata subsp. lyrata
Lineage: Eukaryota; Viridiplantae; Streptophyta; Magnoliopsida; Brassicales; Brassicaceae
Exons: 2
Source: RefSeq, a predicted model, not a curated record
UUUGAUCAAAAUUAAAGUAAGGUAAACGGUAAACCCAUCCCAUUUCUCUCACCCAGCCGCAUAUUCUCUGUCUCGCCGUGUCGAUCCUCCAUGGCUCCAUCUCUGUCUCGUUCUCUCUGAUUAUACUUUAUACAUCUUCCAUCGUUGUAUUGAUUUCAUUCCCUGCUCUUACUCUCACUCUAAAUCCUCAAUCUCUGUUUCAAUCUAUCAAUCUCAGUCUCCUCUAUCAAUUGCCGUUGUUUUUCCCUCUCAAUCUCUGUGUUGUUCUUCGGUCUCUGUCUCAUUCUCCCACUCUCAGUCUCGUUCCCUCUUCGUAUUCAUCGGUGUAAAUCGAAUUGUUUUGAUCGAAUUUUACAUAUAAGGAAGAGCUCGGUGAACUUUCACUCAAAGGAAGAGUUUCAGUUUUGAAUUUCGAUUCAAAGGUUUUUUUGCUAAGUAAUCGAUCUCUAAUUGAUAUCUAUUUGACUGUUAUGGCAGUUGAUUUCACACAAAGUAGAACUAAAGUAAUAGGUAUGUGAGAUUUUGAUUUUAAGGUUUGGGAAAUUGUAUAACCGGUGGUUGGGCUGUGGUAAAUAUUGGCUUAAUAGAAUCAGUCACAAGUUUUUGGAAAGAACUAUUAAUGUCAUUGAGGUGAAGGGUUUUGGUGGUGGCUGGUUCGAGUUACGUGUGUAUUCGGUAUGGUCGUGUGAUGGAACAGUAUAAUCUUUGUGUGGAAGAAGCUCAUAGGAACAAUCUACUCGUUGGAGCUCACAUGGUUCAGACGACUUCAACAAAUCAAGAAAGCUCGAGCCGUUUACAGAUCACAAUUAUACACAAGAUUGCUUGAAACCUCUUAUUGAGUUGGCUUGGGAACUUAAACUCUUUUGUGAAACUUAUUUAGCAAAGCCUCAGCUUUACACUGCCACAAUUCUUAUCGCUCUUGACAUAUCUAUUCCUAAUUUCCUAUGGGUGAAACUUUCAGGAUUUGUUGUAAAUAAUCAUCAUUUACAAUUUGUUGUCUUCUUUAAUUUUUUUAUUUUAUUUUGAUAUAUAUGUUCUUACAAUUGUUUUGUGUUUUGUCUUUGUAAAAUAGUCAAGUUUAGAUA